GUUCUACAGGUGUACAAGCAUGAUUGCUUUCCCUCUAUUUCUGGCUGUGGAAAGAUCAGCAGCCGUCUGAUUGUUUUUCAGGGACAGCAUGAUGUUGGGAUCAGUGCUGAUGGCAGUCACUGGAGCUCAAGAUUAUCCAGGAUGGCUCUGGGAAAAACCAUAUGAAUGAUUUUACCUGCAUCUGACUCUUCUGAAUGAUGUUCCAGAGAGAGCUUCGAUUCUUGUUUUCUGAUUUGAAGUCACUGGUCUCUUUUUGAGCAAUUAAGUGACCUUUUCAAAGCGGUCAUCUAUGUUGUUACAACUGUCAAGUUUGUGAAGUGUCAUUACUUCAAUAAAGCCGUUAAAUCAAAGGUGUGUCUGAAGUUAAGGUGUUUGAUGUAUGAUUGUAUCUGGGUUGGUUAAUUGACUUUAUCAAUGACUAACAGGCCUUUUAGGCAUUUGGUAGCAUGCAAUAUGACCUGUUUUUAUACUUUAAAGUUGAGCACUGAUUAAUUAAACCUAAGCUAUGGAAGCCGAUUUCUUACAUAUCCCUUGCAGCUCAAAAUUGAUUUAAGUCGCGACAGGACUUGUAAGUUGACUCGUGACGUUUUGUCAUUUUCCAUGCGUUUAAUUUGAUUUAAGAUUUACUGAAGCAUAAUUCUGUGUCGGAAAUGGGUUUCCAUAGUAAGUGCCACGUUCUCAGUAUUUGGAAUGGCAGCAUCUUCAUGGGACGGAGCAUUUACACUUAGUUUGCCUGAUUUUGAAAGAUUUACAGUUAAGUAGCUAACAUCGGGUCUACAGGAGC
RNAcentral lists this long non-coding RNA (784 nucleotides) under Sinocyclocheilus anshuiensis. RNAcentral describes it as "lncRNA (ENSSANG00000034324.1)". The record is from RNAcentral. Lineage: Eukaryota; Metazoa; Chordata; Actinopteri; Cypriniformes; Cyprinidae.